UAAAGAACUAGCUCUUUAGAACCUG
Molecule: unclassified non-coding RNA, 25 nt
Filed under: Mus musculus (house mouse)
Lineage: Eukaryota; Metazoa; Chordata; Mammalia; Rodentia; Muridae
Description: oocyte_clustered_small_RNA289
Source: RNAcentral